Molecule: long non-coding RNA, 201 nt
Organism: Apus apus (common swift)
Lineage: Eukaryota; Metazoa; Chordata; Aves; Apodiformes; Apodidae
Exons: 3
Source: RefSeq, a predicted model, not a curated record
CUAGUAUGGGCCACACAACCACAUCCAAUAACUCAUACAACACCUGCAUGUGGCAUUUAACAUUUUCAAGGCACCACACAGACAUUAACUAAUGAAUGAUGACAGCAUCCUUGUGAGUGAAGGACGAAUCCCACAAAAGCCACUGGAGAUGGAGCAGGUGGUCACCAGCCUUCCCCCACCUCAGGGCACCCAAGGGCAGAA